GGAUGUGAUCAUACCAGCACUAAUGCACCAGAUCCCAUCAAAACUCCGCAGUUAAGCGUGCUUGGGCGAGAGUAGUACUAGGAUGGGUGACCUCCAGGAAAGUCCUCGUGUUGCAUCCC
RNAcentral lists this ribosomal RNA (119 nucleotides) under Arabidopsis thaliana (thale cress). Lineage: Eukaryota; Viridiplantae; Streptophyta; Magnoliopsida; Brassicales; Brassicaceae. The record is from RNAcentral.